AACCCGCCUGCAUGAAGCCGGAAUCGCUAGUAAUCGCGGAUCAGAAUGCCGCGGUGAAUACGUUCCCGGGUCUUGUACACACCGCCCGUCACACCAUGGGAGUCGGGAAUGCCCGAAGUCAGUGGCCCAACCGGAAGGGGGGAGCUGCCGAAGGCAGGCCCGGUGACUGGGGUGAAGUCGUAACAAGGUACC
Molecule: ribosomal RNA, 192 nt
Filed under: uncultured bacterium
Lineage: Bacteria
Description: partial 16S ribosomal RNA
Rfam family: Bacterial small subunit ribosomal RNA
Source: RNAcentral